RNAcentral lists this unclassified non-coding RNA (212 nucleotides) under Chrysomyxa pyrolata. RNAcentral describes it as "partial internal transcribed spacer 2". The record is from RNAcentral. Lineage: Eukaryota; Fungi; Basidiomycota; Pucciniomycetes; Pucciniales; Coleosporiaceae.
AACCCUCUCAUUCCAAUUCUUUAUUUAUUUAAAGGGUUGUGAUAUGGAUGUUGAGUGCUGCCGUUAUUGGCUCGCUUUAAAUAUAUAAGUACUUUUAUUGAAAAAUAAAUGGAUUUACUUGGUGUAAUAUUUAUUAUUCAUUGAGGAGUGUGGUUUAAUUACUGCAGCCAUUUGCCUUUUGAUAGAUAGCUUCCGAACCCCAAUUAUAUGAA